RNAcentral lists this ribosomal RNA (470 nucleotides) under uncultured bacterium. RNAcentral describes it as "bacterial SSU rRNA". It matches the Rfam family "Bacterial small subunit ribosomal RNA", at positions 29 to 479 of the family's 1533-position model. The record is from RNAcentral.
AUUGAACGCUGGCGGCAUGCCUAACACAUGCAAGUCGAACGGCAGCACAGCAGUAGCAAUACUGUGGGUGGCGAGUGGCGGACGGGUGAGGAAUACGUCGGAACCUGCCCAGUCGUGGGGGAUAACUAGCCGAAAGGUUAGCUAAUACCGCAUACGACCGAGAGGUGAAAGCGGGGGACCGCAAGGCCUCGCGCGAUUGGAUGAGCCGACGUCGGAUUAGCUAGUUGGCGGGGUAAAGGCCCACCAAGGCGACGAUCCGUAGCUGGUCUGAGAGGAUGAUCAGCCACACUGGAACUGAGACACGGUCCAGACUCCUACGGGAGGCAGCAGUGGGGAAUAUUGGACAAUGGGCGCAAGCCUGAUCCAGCAAUGCCGCGUGUGUGAAGAAGGCCUCGGGUUGGUAAGACGUCUUUCGGUCCGGGAACGGAAAGUACGCAUGGGUUAAUACCCUCGUGCGGAGUGACGGUACC